Stegodyphus dumicola is the source of this 518-nucleotide long non-coding RNA. RefSeq lists it as uncharacterized. The record is from RefSeq and is a predicted model, not a curated record. Lineage: Eukaryota; Metazoa; Arthropoda; Arachnida; Araneae; Eresidae.
UUUUCUGUCAUUUUAUGUUACUAGAAGAUUACAAAAUCAAAACAUUUAUCAGUUAGUGAGCAGAAAUAGUAUAAGCUCCAUUGAAAAAAAUUAAAAAAGGAAAAAAUAUCACAGCAUCCCAAGACUUUUGUGGCAUGACUUUUUUCCCUUUAAAGGAUGUAAACUGGAGUCAACGAGAGAAGCUGAAGUCCUAAAAAGGUUAGUCAGUGCCUUCGUGGUGUAGUGGUUCGGCACCCUGGGCCGGUGUUUUUUCCAGAAAGCGGUCCAAUGCAUUCACAUAGAAAAAUUAAAGGUGUUCGACUACAUCUUACUACUGGAAGACAAAAGAACUACGGCCGCUUGCGGCACAUCUUGUUCGAGACGGGAACUUCCCUGCUUAAUGUAGGAUAAUACUGUCAAUAAUUGUAAAUAGUGUUCAUAAACUCCGUAUUUAUCCUUCUUAUAUCAUUAUUUAGUAUUUAUCUUAUAUGUAUCCUGUAUUCAAUUAUAAUAUUGUAUUUAUGUAUAAAUAAAAUGUG